This 227-nucleotide ribosomal RNA is filed under the name uncultured eukaryote. RNAcentral describes it as "partial 18S ribosomal RNA". It matches the Rfam family "Eukaryotic small subunit ribosomal RNA", at positions 1208 to 1456 of the family's 1831-position model. The record is from RNAcentral.
GGGAAACUCACCAGGUCCAGACAGAAUAAGGAUUGACAGAUUGAGAGCUCUUUCUUGAUCUUUUGGAUGGUGGUGCAUGGCCGUUCUUAGUUGGUGGAGUGAUUUGUCUGCUUAAUUGCGAUAACGAACGAGACCUUAACCUGCUAAAUAGCCCGGUCGGCGUUUGCCGGCCGCUGGCUUCUUAGAGGGACUAUCGUGCUCAAGCCGAUGGAAGUUUGAGGCAAUAA